This 299-nucleotide unclassified non-coding RNA is filed under the name uncultured fungus. RNAcentral describes it as "partial contains 18S rRNA, ITS1, 5.8S rRNA, ITS2 and 28S rRNA". Lineage: Eukaryota; Fungi. The record is from RNAcentral.
AAGGAUCAUUAUCGAAUAAACUUGAACAGGCUGUUGCUGGUCCCAGGACAAUGUGCACGCUUGUCAUCUUUAUCAUUUCUCCCAACUGUGCACAUAUUGUAGACCCUGGAUGGAGGUUUUGGAUUCGUUCCGAGUGGGGACUGCUGUGCUUCCGAAGAGAGGUCGGCUUUCCCUUUUCAUCCUCCAGGUCUAUGUCAUUUUCUUUCACAACCUUCCAUGUCUAGAAUGUCCAGUAAAGGUCAUUUUUUGUACCUAUAAAAAAAGUUAUACAACUUUCAGCAACGGAUCUCUUGGCUCUC